This 222-nucleotide ribosomal RNA is filed under the name Escherichia coli. RNAcentral describes it as "partial 23S ribosomal RNA". It matches the Rfam family "Bacterial large subunit ribosomal RNA", at positions 1124 to 1345 of the family's 2925-position model. Lineage: Bacteria; Pseudomonadati; Pseudomonadota; Gammaproteobacteria; Enterobacterales; Enterobacteriaceae. The record is from RNAcentral.
UAAAGAAAGCGUAAUAGCUCACUGGUCGAGUCGGCCUGCGCGGAAGAUGUAACGGGGAAAAACCAUGCACCGAAGCUGCGGCAGCGACACUAUGUGUUGUUGGGUAGGGGAGCGUUCUGUAAGCCUGCGAAGGUGUACUGUGAGGUAUGCUGGAGGUAUCAGAAGUGCGAAUGCUGACAUAAGUAACGAUAAAGCGGGUGAAAAGCCCGCUCGCCGGAAGAC